Molecule: ribosomal RNA, 253 nt
Filed under: uncultured bacterium
Lineage: Bacteria
Description: partial 16S ribosomal RNA
Rfam family: Bacterial small subunit ribosomal RNA
Source: RNAcentral
GACGAACCGUGCAAACGUUAUUCGGAAUUACUGGGCUUAAAGGGCGCGUAGGCGGGUCAGUUAGUCUGCGGUGAAAUCCUCCAGCUUAACUGGAGAACUGCCGUGGAUACUGCUGACCUCGAGGAGGGUAGGGGCAUCUGGAACAGCCGGUGGAGCGGUGAAAUGCGUUGAUAUCGGCUGGAACUCCGGUGGCGAAGGCGAGAUGCUGGACCCUUUCUGACGCUGAGGCGCGAAAGCCAGGGGAGCGAACGGG